RNAcentral lists this long non-coding RNA (278 nucleotides) under Junco hyemalis (dark-eyed junco). RNAcentral's name for it is "lncRNA (ENSJHYG00000013265.1)". The record is from RNAcentral. Lineage: Eukaryota; Metazoa; Chordata; Aves; Passeriformes; Passerellidae.
CAGCAAUAACCGUGGGGGAAAAAGAUACUGGAAUGUUUUAGAAUAUAAAGAUGUUCUCCCACAAAAGAAAGAGCUGGAUCAACGUGGAUAUAUCAUUUCAUUUGUGCUGCUAGAAAAAUCCAGCAGCUGGCCAGCUGUCUUUUCAAUGCUCUGAAGAUUCCCAGCUGAUACUGGAAAGAGGAGACAAAGGGAAAAUAAGCCUCACAGUUUGAAGCCAGGUCCAAAUGGCAAACCAACAUAUGCAUGGCCUUGUCUGCAGUCUGGGGAGUGUUUUGUUG